UGAGUAGCGAAAGACGGGUGAGAAUCCCGUCCACCGAUUGACUAAGGUUUCCAGAGGAAGGCUCGUCCGCUCUGGGUUAGUCGGGUCCUAAGCUGAGGCCGACAGGCGUAGGCGAUGGAUAACAGGUUGAUAUUCCUGUACCACCUAUAAUCGUUUUAAUCGAUGGGGGGACGCAGUAGGAUAGGCGAAGCGUGCGAUUGGAUUGCACGUCUAAGCAGUAAGGCUGAGUAUUAGGCAAAUCCGGUACUCGUUAAGGCUGAGCUGUGAUGGGGAGAAGACAUUGUGUCUUCGAGUCGUUGAUUUCACACUGCCGAGAAAAGCCUCUAGAUAGAAAAUAGGUGCCCGUACCGCAAACCGACACAGGUAGUCAAGAUGAGAAUUCUAAGGUGAGCGAGCGAACUCUCGUUAAGGAACUCGGCAAAAUGACCCCGUAACUUCGGGAGAAGGGGUGCUCUUUAGGGUUAACGCCCAGAAGAGCCGCAGUGAAUAGGCCCAAGCGACUGUUUAUCAAAAACACAGGUCUCUGCUAAACCGUAAGGUGAUGUAUAGGGGCUGACGCCUGCCCGGUGCUGGAAGGUUAAGAGGAGUGGUUAGCUUCUGCGAAGCUACGAAUCGAAGCCCCAGUAAACGGCGGCCGUAACUAUAACGGUCCUAAGGUAGCGAAAUUCCUUGUCGGGUAAGUUCCGACCCGCACGAAAGGCGUAACGAUUUGGGCACUGUCUCAACGAGAGACUCGGUGAAAUCAUAGUACCUGUGAAGAUGCAGGUUACCCGCGACAGGACGGAAAGACCCCGUGGAGCUUUACUGUAGCCUGAUAUUGAAAUUCGGCACAGCUUGUACAGGAUAGGUAGGAGCCUUUGAAACGUGAGCGCUAGCUUACGUGGAGGCGCUGGUGGGAUACUACCCUAGCUGUGUUGGCUUUCUAACCCGCACCACUUAUCGUGGUGGGAGACAGUGUCAGGCGGGCAGUUUGACUGGGGCGGUCGCCUCCUAAAAGGUAACGGAGGCGCUCAAAGGUUCCCUCAGAAUGGUUGGAAAUCAUUCAUAGAGUGUAAAGGCAUAAGGGAGCUUGACUGCGAGACCUACAAGUCGAGCAGGGUCGAAAGACGGACUUAGUGAUCCGGUGGUUCCGCAUGGAAGGGCCAUCGCUCAACGGAUAAAAGCUACCCCGGGGAUAACAGGCUUAUCUCCCCCAAGAGUUCACAUCGACGGGGAGGUUUGGCACCUCGAUGUCGGCUCAUCGCAUCCUGGGGCUGUAGUCGGUCCCAAGGGUUGGGCUGUUCGCCCAUUAAAGCGGUACGCGAGCUGGGUUCAGAACGUCGUGAGACAGUUCGGUCCCUAUCCGUCGUGGGCGUAGGAAAUUUGAGAGGAGCUGUCCUUAGUACGAGAGGACCGGGAUGGACAUACCUCUGGUGUACCAGUUGUCGUGCCAACGGCAUAGCUGGGUAGCUAUGUGUGGACGGGAUAAGUGCUGAAAGCAUCUAAGCAUGAAGCCCCCCUCAAGAUGAGAUUUCCCAACUUCGGUUAUAAGAUCCCUCAAAGAUGAUGAGGUUAAUAGGUUCGAGGUGGAAGCAUGGUGACAUGUGGAGCUGACGAAUACUAAUCGAUCGA
Molecule: ribosomal RNA, 1611 nt
Filed under: Staphylococcus aureus
Lineage: Bacteria; Bacillati; Bacillota; Bacilli; Caryophanales; Staphylococcaceae
Description: partial 23S ribosomal RNA
Rfam family: Bacterial large subunit ribosomal RNA
Source: RNAcentral